AGUGAACGCUGGCGGUAGGCCUAACACAUGCAAGUCGAACGGCAGCACAGUAAGAGCUUGCUCUUACGGGUGGCGAGUGGAGGACGGGUGAGGAAUACAUCGGAAUCUACUUUUUCGUGGGGGAUAACGUAGGGAAACUUACGCUAAUACCGCAUACGACCUACGGGUGAAAGCAGGGGAUCUUCGGACCUUGCGCGAUUGAAUGAGCCGAUGUCGGAUUAGCUAGUUGGCGGGGUAAAGGCCCACCAAGGCGACGAUCCGUAGCUGGUCUGAGAGGAUGAUCAGCCACACUGGAACUGAGACACGGUCCAGACUCCUACGGGAGGCAGCAGUGGGGAAUAUUGGACAAUGGGCGCAAUCCUGAUCCAGCCAUACCGCGUUGGUGAAGAAGGCCUUCGUGUUGUAAAGCCCUUUUGUUGGGAAAGAAAAGCAGCAGGUUAAUACCCCGCUGUUCUGACGGUACCCAAAGAAUAAGCACCGGCUAACUUCGUG
Molecule: ribosomal RNA, 492 nt
Filed under: uncultured bacterium
Lineage: Bacteria
Description: partial 16S ribosomal RNA
Rfam family: Bacterial small subunit ribosomal RNA
Source: RNAcentral